This 479-nucleotide ribosomal RNA is filed under the name uncultured bacterium. RNAcentral describes it as "partial 16S ribosomal RNA". It matches the Rfam family "Bacterial small subunit ribosomal RNA", at positions 28 to 507 of the family's 1533-position model. The record is from RNAcentral.
GAUGAACGCUGGCGGCGUGCUUAACACAUGCAAGUCGAACGAAGCACUUUAACCUGAUUCUUCGGAUGAAGGUUUUUGUGACUGAGUGGCGGACGGGUGAGUAACGCGUGGGUCACCUGCCUCAUACAGGGGGAUAACAGUUAGAAAUGACUGCUAAUACCGCAUAAGACCACAGAGCCGCAUGGCUCGGUGGGAAAAACUCCGGUGGUAUGAGAUGGACCCGCGUCUGAUUAGGUAGUUGGUGGGGUAACGGCCUACCAAGCCAACGAUCAGUAGCCGACCUGAGAGGGUGACCGGCCACAUUGGGACUGAGACACGGCCCAAACUCCUACGGGAGGCAGCAGUGGGGAAUAUUGCACAAUGGGGGAAACCCUGAUGCAGCGACGCCGCGUGAGCGAAGAAGUAUUUCGGUAUGUAAAGCUCUAUCAGCAGGGAAGAAAAUGACGGUACCUGACGAAGAAGCACCGGCUAAAUACGUG